This is an RNA transcript of Ananas comosus (pineapple), 1559 nucleotides long. RefSeq lists it as uncharacterized. The record is from RefSeq and is a predicted model, not a curated record. The transcript is spliced from 11 exons. Lineage: Eukaryota; Viridiplantae; Streptophyta; Magnoliopsida; Poales; Bromeliaceae.
ACGGCGGUGUAAAGUGAUACCGUUAACGCAAAGUCGGUAGCGACAAUGCAGAGAAUGCCGACUUCGUGGAUAUUUUUCAUUUUUCCCCUAAUAAAACAAAUUAUUUCAUAUAACUACAGAAACACACUGAUAGAGCGCAUAUCGCUCCCUCGUCGCCUCCGUCCCGGCGAGUACAACCACAUCCAAAACCCUCGCAUGGCGGCGCCCUCCCUUCUCCUCCAUCGCCAUUGCUUCCACCACCUCUCGCGCCCUUCCCUUUGCCCUAGUUGUGUAAUCCUUCGGCGUAGAUCUCUUCUCCGCUCAUAUUCGACCCGUUCCUCUCCCAAUCGCACCUCCGUAGAGCCAAAGCUCCACAAGUACGAGAUAAACCCUAGAAAUUAUUGGGACGACUUCUACAAGCGUCACCACAACAAGUUCUUUAAGGAUCGGCAUUACCUGGAGAAGGAUUGGGGUAGCUACUUCUCCUGCCAUAGUGGAAAUGAGGAACCUUGUCUUGAUCCGAAGGUUGUAUUGGAGGUUGGCUGUGGAGCCGGCAAUACUCUUUCCCCACUGCUCAAUGCAUUCCCUGAUAUUUUUGUUCAUGCUUGCGAUUUCUCGCCUCACGCAGUUGAGCUUCUCAAGGAACAGGGAACUUUUAAGUCUGAUCGGAUGAAUGCUUUUGUUUGUGAUGUCACAGUGGAUGACCUUUGCAACAAAAUAGAGCCGGCGUCAGUGGAUAUUGUCACUAUGAUUUUUAUGUUGUCUGCAGUUCCCCCAGUAAAGAUGCCUUUGGUAUUACAAAACAUUAUAAAUGUGCUUAAGCCUGGUGGUUUCUUGCUUUUCCGCGAUUAUGCUAUGGGUGACUUUGCUCAGGAAAAGCUUGCCGACAAAGAUCAGAUAAUCAGUGAGAACUUCUGUGUCAGGGGUGAUGGAAUUGGUGCUUACUACUUUUCUGAAGGUUUUCUCUCUGGAUUGUUUGAAAGAAACGGCUUCAAGAAGAUAGAAGUGAGCGUCUACCACAAACAGAUUGUAAAUCACUUGAGAAAUGUAGUGAUGAAUAGGCGCUGGAUUCGUGCUACAUUUUGUAAUACUAGUUGCCAUAAUGUGCACUCAACAAUGUCUGAGCAAACGGUUGUUGACAAGGUAUACUCUGAAUGAUGGCUAUAGAUCCUUUUGCUGUAGAGAAGUCUUAAACCUUGCUUCUGAAAUCUGAAAGCUGAACAUCGUGCAGAUCAAGAAUACGCUGUUAGAUGCAGAGUAAGCACACUGGAAUUAUGGAAAAGUCGCAGACAGGAAGAAUAUGGCAUUAGGGCAAGAUAAAGAAGUCAAAGAUGAAUCAUUUAUUUGUAAAGGUGCUCGUGCUUAAUAAGAUUUAGCUGUUCUUGAAUUGAGGGGAAGAAGAGGAAAAACUCGGAGACUUUCUCUCCAGAUUUUUGGUCAAGAUUUGCUACAUUUCGCAAAAUCUCACUUGUGUUGUAAUAUUCUCUUACUAAAUAAGCAAAUUUAUUGUAUGCGCGCAUAUUGACAAUUACAUUGGUAAAUGAUGGUUAAUUGUUUUCUAUUUUAAGCAAGUUCUUCAA